GCCUCCUUCAAUUUCAGCACAAAUGAACCGUAUUGCAGAUGAAUAGCAAAUCGCAGUUCUACGCUUCACAAGUUUGAAAAUAAACGGUUGAUCUUUUAUCCUCUAGUAAUAUAGCCCUUUCACAACUUUAGAAUCUUGGUUAAAUGAACAACCCCAGUCAUCUGAAAUAUUUUACCUAUUUUAUGACAAAUUACCAUAUGUUUUUUUUUCUUUUCAUUUAAGAUAAUUAUUCGUUUUCUAUUUGAUUAUAACUACUAUUAUAUAUUACAGUUCUUAUCGUGGUUUCUAUGAUUCUAUCUAUUUUCGAAAUUUGUAAUUUUGUUAUUUUGUUUUGUCCUCUGAUCUGAAAACAUGAAAUCGAACCGUACUUGUUAUUUAAAAACAAUGAAAUAUCGUUCAUAUAUCAUAUGAUAAUACGAACUGCUUUCAAUUUCGAUGGCCAAGGAGGGUGAUUGGCCUAAUGAGUUCAUAUAAAGUGAUAAAAAACCUGCGGCGAUUUUAAGAUACGCUCGUGGCGAGAUUUGUUCGACUCCGAUCCUAAUCGACAGUUAUUGCAAAUAUUUUAACUUAAGUUCGCCUGAUGUCCGGCUUCUCCUACCUAUGAUGACAGGUCAAUAAAAUACAACAAAUGUCGCUCUUAACAUGUAGCGGUGUUUAACACCAAAACAAAGAACAAACUUUUAGAAAUAAUUUGAAAACACAUAUAUGUAUAGCGUCCCGAAUCGAAAACGUUCAAAACGUAAGAAAAUUGUUCAGUGGACAAACUUGCAAGACAUUUGAUUUGUUAAAAAACGAAGUCAUUUCGACUUUACAGCUUAUCAAAAAGUAUGUUAUCGUAUUGUGGGGUGAAAGCACAAUUACGCAAAAGCACUAUUUUGUAUGCUACAAAUUUAAUAUUUAAUAUAAUGACGUUGAAACUGACAGUGUUUUGGUAAAAAGCGUCGAAAUUCGACAUUGGACAAUCUUGCAAGACAUUUUCCCGAAGCCAAUGCUUUUUUAUUUGUGGUGCGAGUGCUGUAAAAUUCCGGAUUUG
This 1033-nucleotide long non-coding RNA is filed under the name Mytilus galloprovincialis (Mediterranean mussel). Lineage: Eukaryota; Metazoa; Mollusca; Bivalvia; Mytilida; Mytilidae. The record is from RNAcentral.